RNAcentral lists this ribosomal RNA (253 nucleotides) under uncultured bacterium. RNAcentral's name for it is "partial 16S ribosomal RNA". It matches the Rfam family "Bacterial small subunit ribosomal RNA", at positions 524 to 776 of the family's 1533-position model. The record is from RNAcentral.
UACGUAGGGUGCGAGCGUUAAUCGGAAUUACUGGGCGUAAAGCGUGCGCAGGCGGUUUUGUAAGCCAGAUGUGAAAUCCCCGGGCUUAACCUGGGAAUGGCAUUUGGGACUGCAAGGCUUGAGUGCGGCAGAGGAGACUGGAAUUCCCGGUGUAGCAGUGAAAUGCGUAGGUAUCGGGAGGAAUACCGAUGGCGAAGGCAGGUCUCUGGGCUGACACUGACGCUCAUGCACGAAAGCGUGGGGAGCAAACAGG